AGAGUUUGAUCCUGGCUCAGAUUGAACGCUGGCGGCAGGCCUAACACAUGCAAGUCGAGCGGUAGAGAGAAGCUUGCUUCUCUUGAGAGCGGCGGACGGGUGAGUAAAGCCUAGGAAUCUGCCUGGGUAGUGGGGGAUAACGUUCGGAAACGGACGCUAAUACCGCAUACGUCCUACGGGAGAAAGCAGGGGACCUUCGGGCCUUGCGCUAUCAGAAUGAGCNCAGGUCGGAUUANCUAGUUGGUGAGGUAAUGGCUCACCAGGGCGACNAUCCGUAACUGGUCUGAGAGGAUGAUCAGUCCCCCCUGGNAACUGAGANCCCGGGCCCAAANUCCCCNCNGGGNGGNCCCCNNNGGGGGAAAUUUUUGGAACNNGGGGGGANAAACC
This 387-nucleotide ribosomal RNA is filed under the name uncultured bacterium. RNAcentral describes it as "partial 16S ribosomal RNA". It matches the Rfam family "Bacterial small subunit ribosomal RNA", at positions 8 to 382 of the family's 1533-position model. The record is from RNAcentral.